UCAAUAACCCCGCAAGACACAAGUGCCUACAUAAGAGUUGAUGGUGAUGGUGUACUGCAUCUGGUGCAGCCUCCUGUUGAGCCAGACCAACAUGCAGUUGAAAAUAAUGAAGAAACAUUGACAGCUGUUACAGAGGAGGAAGCAACAGAGACACUUUAUGAGAGUGAUGAUGGAAAUGCAGAGGAAGAGGGUCCAGCCACUUCU
Molecule: long non-coding RNA, 204 nt
Organism: Oreochromis aureus
Lineage: Eukaryota; Metazoa; Chordata; Actinopteri; Cichliformes; Cichlidae
Exons: 4
Source: RefSeq, a predicted model, not a curated record